Molecule: ribosomal RNA, 433 nt
Filed under: uncultured bacterium
Lineage: Bacteria
Description: partial 16S ribosomal RNA
Rfam family: Bacterial small subunit ribosomal RNA
Source: RNAcentral
AACGAACGCUGGCGGCAUGCCUAACACAUGCAAGUCGAACGAGACCUUCGGGUCUAGUGGCGCACGGGUGCGUAACGCGUGGGAACCUGCCCUUAGGUUCGGAAUAACUCCCCGAAAGGGGUGCUAAUACCGGAUAAUGUCUUCGGACCAAAGAUUUAUCGCCUUUGGAUGGGCCCGCGUUGGAUUAGCUAGUUGGUAGGGUAAAAGCCUACCAAGGCGACGAUCCAUAGCUGGUCUGAGAGGAUGAUCAGCCACACUGGGGCUGAGACACGGCCCAGACUCCUACGGGAGGCAGCAGUGGGGAAUAUUGGAAAAUGGGCGAAAGCCUGAUCCAGCAAUGCCGCGUGAGUGAUGAAGGCCUUAGGGUUGUAAAGCUCUUUUACCCGGGAUGAUAAUGACAGUACCGGGAGAAUAAGCUCCGGCUAACUCCGUG